UGCUGAGAUUUUAUUGAUUGCGACCCAAACUGUGAAGAAGUGGGUUUGAAAUUUUGGUCAUGGAAUGUAGGAUCAGAAAACCAUGGACAAAGGUUUUUACCUGUGUUGAUAUGACUUUUGGAAACUCAAAUUGACCGGUCAAAGUUUUGCCAUGCCUUUAACAUGGAGUAGUAUAAAUAUUUUGAGUCUUUGAGAGUUCUGACAAAUGCAGGUGAUACCAUGUCUGUGUAAUCUGGUCCAAAUGUUCUAUAAGCGUAUAAGAGAGAAAUUCUAUUGACAGGGUACAUAUGUUGCAACUGGUUAAUGCAAGUGUUAUACAAAUGUUUAAGUCAAACGCGUUAUAUGGCCGUACGGGAUCCCUUCUUUAAAAAAAAAAACCCUUUGGUACCAGAACUCUUAAAUAAAUCCAAUACAAACUAAAAUUGGUAUACCUUACAAUAAUAUGUUCUGAAUACAGCUGUUAGAAGUUUAUUCUGUGUGAAUGAUGAUUGUCAUAAAUGUUUGUUUUGGGUACUCAUUUUGAAGUGCGCAGUUUAAUUGUCAUGUAUGUUAAUGGGUAUUUUGCUGUGUUAUUUUAAAUUAUAUUUGAAUAAGUUUGUCUUAGUAUUGAUACAGAUGAAAAUGGCAGCGUAAUAAUCUAUUAAACAACUGAUUUAUUAUUGAAUACUUGUCCAAGAGCAAUAUGAGUUGUAGUCUUAAGAAAGAAAAAAAGAGGGAGUCUGUUUUUGUAAAUUUUAGCUGAUUUCCAAAAUUCUGUUGCAAUAAUGGACUUCCUGCCAAAAUUUGACUUUCCUGUCCAGUUGCCAGGUGCUCUGAUCUAAUCUUAAAGCAGUACUGCUUGCAUUGUUUGCAGACAUGCAUAAUGCACAAACAUGAGAACCAAAUUAUGUCCGUCACAUAGUGUGACAUUUAUUAAUUUAUUUUGGAUUGAGUUAAUUGCCUGUCCAUGAAUAUGCUUUUGGUAUUGGCAUGUCUGCUGGAUAUCUGCUACAUGUUUUCUGUGCUAUAAGAUGAUGUGUGAUAUUACAAUGAGUAUUAUUUAAAGAAUAUUUGCAUGUCAUUAACACAAGCCUUUAGUGUCUUUUUACAACAGAUUAAAAAAACGCUGAUCAGCCAACAAGAAAGGGGCUCCUGGGAAAGAAAAAGAAAAAAUAUAUCAUUUGCUUUUCAAAAUCGUGGAUCCACGUUUCAGUAUUAUUAGGGGAGUAUUUAGAGUUAACGCUACUUUUAAAGUGCAUUGCAUUAUUUAAGAAAAGAAAAAUGUGUUACGUUAUAUGGUUAUAUAACAAGAAAAAUUAUGGAUGUAUAGGAUAGGUUUUUUCCAAGAUUAAGAUUCAUCUAGUAUGCCUCAUUGAUUAUAGGAAAAUGAUGAAAUGGUAUUUUUAAUAGAGAUCAG
Non-coding RNA from Pelobates cultripes (western spadefoot toad), 1396 nucleotides. Lineage: Eukaryota; Metazoa; Chordata; Amphibia; Anura; Pelobatidae. The record is from the annotation of a GenBank genome assembly.